UACGUAGGGGGCAAGCGUUGUCCGGAUUUAUUGGGCGUAAAGAGCGUGUAGGCGGCUUCACAGGUCCGCUGUGAAAACUUGAGGCUCAACCUCGAGCUGUCGGUGGAAACCGUGUGGCUAGAGUCCGGAAGAGGAGAGUGGAAUUCCCGGUGUAGUGGUGAAAUGCGUAGAUAUCGGGAGGAACACCUGUGGCGAAAGCGGCUCACUGGACCACACCUGACGCUGAGGCGCGAAAGCUAGGGGAGCAAACAGG
RNAcentral lists this ribosomal RNA (253 nucleotides) under uncultured bacterium. RNAcentral describes it as "partial 16S ribosomal RNA". It matches the Rfam family "Bacterial small subunit ribosomal RNA", at positions 524 to 776 of the family's 1533-position model. The record is from RNAcentral.